CCUACGGGUGGCUGCAGUGGGGAAUAUUGGACAAUGGGGGCAACCCUGAUCCAGCCAUGCCGCGUGUGUGAAGAAGGCCCUCGGGUUGUAAAGCACUUUCAGUGAGGAAGAACGCCUGGUGGUUAAUACCCAUCAGGAAAGACAUCACUCACAGAAGAAGCACCGGCUAACUCCGUGUCAGCAGCCGCGGUAAUACGGAGGGUGCGAGCGUUAAUCGGAAUUACUGGGCGUAAAGCGCGCGUAGGUGGCUUGAUAAGCCGGUUGUGAAAGCCCCGGGCUCAACCUGGGAACGGCAUCCGGAACUGUCAAGCUAGAGUGCAGGAGAGGAAGGUAGAAUUCCCGGUGUAGCGGUGAAAUGCGUAGAGAUCGGGAGGAAUACCAGUGGCGAAGGCGGCCUUCUGGACUGACACUGACACUGAGGUGCGAAAGCGUGGGUAGCAAACAGGAUUAGAUACCCUAGUAGUC
Molecule: ribosomal RNA, 465 nt
Filed under: Vreelandella stevensii
Lineage: Bacteria; Pseudomonadati; Pseudomonadota; Gammaproteobacteria; Oceanospirillales; Halomonadaceae
Description: partial 16S ribosomal RNA
Rfam family: Bacterial small subunit ribosomal RNA
Source: RNAcentral